CGUGGGCGCUGGAGAAUUGAGGGGGGCUGCUCCUAGUACGAGAGGACCGGAGUGGACGCAUCACUGGUGUUCGGGUUGUCAUGCCAAUGGCACUGCCCGGUAGCUAAAUGCGGAAGAGAUAAGUGCUGAAAGCAUCUAAGCACGAAACUUGCCCCGAGAUGAGUUCUCCCUGAGACUAUAAGUCUCCUGAAGGAACGUUGAAGACGACGACGUUGAUAGGCCGGGUGUGUAAGCGCAGCGAUGCGUUGAGCUAACCGGUACUAAUGAACCGUGAGGCUUAACCUU
RNAcentral lists this ribosomal RNA (285 nucleotides) under Klebsiella quasipneumoniae. RNAcentral's name for it is "partial 23S rRNA. Bacterial LSU". It matches the Rfam family "Bacterial large subunit ribosomal RNA", at positions 2646 to 2925 of the family's 2925-position model. The record is from RNAcentral. Lineage: Bacteria; Pseudomonadati; Pseudomonadota; Gammaproteobacteria; Enterobacterales; Enterobacteriaceae.